UAACACCGUUUCCCGUACGAUCACCGAAGUUAAGCAAUGUGGCGGCUGGUCAGUACCUAGUUUGGUGACCGCUUGGGAAUACCAGGU
Molecule: non-coding RNA, 87 nt
Organism: Acanthosepion pharaonis
Lineage: Eukaryota; Metazoa; Mollusca; Cephalopoda; Sepiida; Sepiidae
Source: the annotation of a GenBank genome assembly